RNAcentral lists this ribosomal RNA (424 nucleotides) under uncultured prokaryote. Its description in RNAcentral is "bacterial SSU rRNA". It matches the Rfam family "Bacterial small subunit ribosomal RNA", at positions 355 to 796 of the family's 1533-position model. The record is from RNAcentral.
UGGGGAAUAUUGGACAAUGGGCGCAAGCCUGAUCCAGCCAUGCCGCGUGGGUGAAGAAGGCCUUAGGGUUGUAAACCCCUUUCACCGGUGACGAUGAUGACGGUAGCCGGAGAAGAAGCCCCGGCUAACUCCGUGCCAGCAGCCGCGGUAAUACGGAGGGGGCAAGCGUUGUUCGGAAUUACUGGGCGUAAAGCGCGCGUAGGCGGGUGACCAAGUUGGGGGUGAAAGCCCGGGGCUCAACCUCGGAACGGCCUUCAAAACUGGUUAUCUAGAAUCCGGGAGAGGUAAGCGGAAUUCCUAGUGUAGAGGUGAAAUUCGUAGAUAUUAGGAAGAACACCAGUGGCGAAGGCGGCUUACUGGACCGGCAUUGACGCUGAGGUGCGAAAGCGUGGGGAGCGAACAGGAUUAGAUACCCCCGUAGUCC